GAUGAACGCUGACAGAAUGCUUAACACAUGCAAGUCAACUUGAAUUUGGGUUUUUAACUUAGGUUUGGGUGGCGGACGGGUGAGUAACGCGUAAAGAACUUGCCUCACAGCUAGGGACAACAUUUGGAAACGAAUGCUAAUACCUAAUAUUAUGAUAAUAGGGCAUCCUAUAAUUAUGAAAGCUAUAAGCGCUGUGAGAGAGCUUUGCGUCCCAUUAGCUAGUUGGAGAGGUAACUGCUCACCAAGGCGAUGAUGGGUAGCCGGCCUGAGAGGGUGAUCGGCCACAAGGGGACUGAGACACGGCCCUUACUCCUACGGGAGGCAGCAGUGGGGAAUAUUGGACAAUGGACCAAGAGUCUGAUCCAGCAAUUCUGUGUGCACGAUGAAGUUUUUCGGAAUGUAAAGUGCUUUCAGUUGGGAAGAAAGAAAUGACGGUACCAACAGAAGAAGUGACGGCUAAAUACGUGCCAGCAGCCGCGGUAAUACGUAUGUCACGAGCGUUAUCCGGAUUUAUUGGGCGUAAAGCGCGUCUAGGUGGUUAUGUAAGUCUGAUGUGAAAAUGCAGGGCUCAACUCUGUAUUGCGUUGGAAACUGUAUAACUAGAGUACUGGAGAGGUAAGCGGAACUACAAGUGUAGAGGUGAAAUUCGUAGAUAUUUGUAGGAAUGCCGAUGGGGGAAGCCAGCUUACUGGACAGAUACUGACGCUGAAGCGCGAAAGCGUGGGUAGCAAACAGGAGUAGAUACCCUGGUAGUCCAAGGGGCUAAUUCCACAGUGUAGAUCAGGCUUAUCGAUACCCGUCGACCUCGAGGGGGGGGCCCAGAAACACCAACUUUUGUUCCCUUUAGUGAGGGGUAAUUAACUGUGCUGCUGCCCCUACCUUGUCUUUUCAUGUGUUUAUUUAGUUUUCUUCUUUGUUGCUGAGUGGUGAGCCAGCCUUGCCUUGCAUCUCUCUUGUUAUUGUGUUCUAGUGCCUGUACUCUUUGUGCUGUAUGAUUCAUGUGUUGUCAUGAUGUUGACUGCUGCUGUGUGUAGUGUGGUGCCUCGCUGUGCUCUAGUGCCCUAAUCUUCUGUUGUGUCAUAUGCUUUGCUGUGU
This 1095-nucleotide ribosomal RNA is filed under the name uncultured Fusobacterium sp. Its description in RNAcentral is "bacterial SSU rRNA". The stretch from base 1 to 835 matches the Rfam family "Bacterial small subunit ribosomal RNA". Lineage: Bacteria; Fusobacteriati; Fusobacteriota; Fusobacteriia; Fusobacteriales; Fusobacteriaceae. The record is from RNAcentral.